Molecule: ribosomal RNA, 345 nt
Filed under: uncultured bacterium
Lineage: Bacteria
Description: bacterial SSU rRNA
Rfam family: Bacterial small subunit ribosomal RNA
Source: RNAcentral
UACGACGUAUCAGAGUUUGAUCCUGGCUCAGGAUGAACGCUAGCGGCAGGCUUAACACAUGCAAGUCAGGGGCAGCAUAAACAUUGCUUGCAAUGUUUGAUGGCGACCGGCGCACGGGUGCGUAACGCGUAUGUAACCUACCUCAAACAGGGGCAUAACACUGAGAAAUUGGUACUAAUUCCCCAUAACACCCAUAAAGGCAUCUUUUUUGAGUUGAAAGUUCCGGCGGUUUGAGAUGGACAUGCGUUGUAUUAGCUAGUUGGUGAGGUAACGGCUCACCAAGGCGACGAUACAUAGGGGGACUGAGAGGUUAACCCCCCACAUUGGUACUGAGACACGGACCAA